AAAUGCGCCUCAACGAUAUCGGUAGUUGUCAGCAAACACUAGUUUGUUCUGAGCUGUGGAACUACAGUUUUUAUUUGCUGGAGAUGUCGAAAGGCCCGAAAGCUAUUGCUUUUGGGGAAAUUUACUCUGUAUAGAUCAAGAGCAUCUAAUAAGCAUAUAUAUUUUUAAUUAGCAUAGAAGGAAUCUAGUAGGCGUUUGCUCAUAAACUUGGUUGAAACAUGAAAAAAAGACAGCUUUGACGUUGAUUGUCAAAAUGGUACUGAUACUCCGAAUAUAUUUUUG
This 282-nucleotide unclassified non-coding RNA is filed under the name Hevea brasiliensis (rubber tree). Lineage: Eukaryota; Viridiplantae; Streptophyta; Magnoliopsida; Malpighiales; Euphorbiaceae. The record is from RNAcentral.